GUGAGGAUAUGGUGGUAUUUAAUGUAUAAAUAUGUGAAAUUGGUGGUUGAAUAUUUGUAAUCUUGAUGAAUCCACCUAUGCCUAAGAUAUGCAUGUAAGGUGUUUGUGAAAAUACCUAAGGGAAUAGAAAUCAUGCUUUUAUGACAUAAUAAGUCCUAAAUGACUAUUCCAUGUUCUAAGUUUAUGUUCAACGUGAUCCCCAUGCUAUUGUCUUGAAUUGAAG
This 223-nucleotide long non-coding RNA is filed under the name Capsicum annuum. RNAcentral describes it as "long non-coding RNA (CANN_LNC014569)". Lineage: Eukaryota; Viridiplantae; Streptophyta; Magnoliopsida; Solanales; Solanaceae. The record is from RNAcentral.